CCUACGGGAGGCAGCAGUGAGGAAUAUUGGUCAAUGGGCGGGAGCCUGAACCAGCCAAGCCGCGUGAGGGAAGAAGGCACAGCGUAUCGUAAACCGCUUUUGUCAGGGAAUAAAGUCGGGGACUAGUCCCCCGUUGCGGGUACCUCAAGAAAAAGCAUCGGCUAAUUCCGUGCCAGCAGCCGCGGUAAUACGGAGGGUCCGAGCGUUAUCCGGAUUUAUUGGGUUUAAAGGGAGCGCAGGCGGUCUGUUAAG
RNAcentral lists this ribosomal RNA (252 nucleotides) under uncultured bacterium. RNAcentral's name for it is "partial 16S ribosomal RNA". It matches the Rfam family "Bacterial small subunit ribosomal RNA", at positions 338 to 587 of the family's 1533-position model. The record is from RNAcentral.